Molecule: long non-coding RNA, 910 nt
Organism: Carassius carassius (crucian carp)
Lineage: Eukaryota; Metazoa; Chordata; Actinopteri; Cypriniformes; Cyprinidae
Exons: 2
Source: RefSeq, a predicted model, not a curated record
ACAGAUAUGUGUUAUGUUCAUAUUAUGUAUAGGAAUAUUACAUUAUGUAUUUUAAAAGGUGUUGUUCAAUAAAUCAAAACCACUACUUUCCUUCUUCAGGUCAACCAUGUUUUCAUGAAAAAAAAAAAUCAAUUUGUGUAUGUCAAAUUUAGGCGAAAAUAAACACACACACACACACACACACACACACAUUAAAAACCCCCAGUGCUUACACACAUAAAGCACCUUAUGAAUCAGAAUUUUUAAAUUUCUUUUUUACAUUUUUUUUAAUAAAUAGCCUAUUUAUUAUUAGAUACAGUGUGAAUUAUCCAUGGGAUUAUGUUAUUCAUAAAUGGUUAUAAUUUUAAAGUUUUGUGUUUUGAGUAAGCUUCAAUGGAAAUGCUUCAAAUGCUUCAAGAGAUUAAACACAGUCUUACGGUGAAAAUGAAUUUUAAUGGAAAAAAGGAUGAUGAUAACCACAGUGAUCAAAGAAAUGACAAUUGCAACGACAAGACUUCUGUUCAGAUCUAAUGAAGAGGGAAAAUACACAUCAUACUUAUAAAACAAAUCCAGUCCUGUAAUAUGCAUUGUUAUUAGAUUAGGAAAUAACAUACUGCAUUACUGAAUUUUGCCAUGAUUUAGAAAAAACACAAAACAUAAGUAUGCAGUUAAUCUACAUACAGAUUUAUGUUGUAUUGAGUUUCUUCACUGUCUCACUAUUAAACAGAUGUCUCACAUGGAUCACUGGUCGCUUUACUCACUGCGUUCUCGAGUGUGCAUGUGUAGAAGUUUUCUGGAUUUCCUUGUUUUUCAACUAUGAUGAACUCUCCUUUCAUUUGUUGCUUUAAGCCCUUCAGUGUUUCUCCAGGUGAAUACUUCCAGAUGAUCGUUACAUUGUACUCGCAUAUUAAAUAAACAACAUCUGGGUUAA